RNAcentral lists this unclassified non-coding RNA (224 nucleotides) under Hevea brasiliensis (rubber tree). Lineage: Eukaryota; Viridiplantae; Streptophyta; Magnoliopsida; Malpighiales; Euphorbiaceae. The record is from RNAcentral.
GUCAGCGCGGCCGUCGGAGACAUGGGAGACCCGGGGUCGGAGAUAAUAGAAUCUGUCCCUCCAGCUGGCCCUGAGGCAUCUGAGUCAACAACGGAUGAAAAUGAAGACGACAUUCAGUUUGUCAGUGAAGGACCAUUACGACCUGUUCUUGAAUACAUUGAUCUGGUCAGCAGUGAUGAUGAAGAGCCUAGCACCUCUUAUACUGAUAGAAUGCCUGAAUCUAA